UCCUGAGGUCCUUCACCAUCCCUUGUCAGGCUCCCUUAACUCUGUUACAUUUUCAUCAAUAAUUCUUCCAUUAAACAUUUCUCGAUUACCUUAUUGGAGGGGACAACUUAUUUCCUGCCAAGAUUCCAACUGAUGUGACUUCCUAGCCACAGGACAUUGCCACCACCUCUCUGGCACCCUCUGGUUACCUUCCACAUCCAACCCGUUAUCCAACCAUGUUGUUGCUACUUUCUACUUACACCUUAAAAUUAGACAUAUCUCUUCUUGCCAUGGCUAACUGGUAGCUUCUUUGCUGGUCUUUCCAUUUUUACUCUUGCCUCUCUUUCAAUCUACUCACUGUGGGGCAGACAAAACCCCUUCUUAAAAAUAAAAGUCAGAUCAUAUUUCUUCACUGCUUACAAUUCAUUAAUGGUGUUCUUAGAAUUUGUGUAAAAUCCAAAUUCCUCAUCACAAACCUACCAGGCAUUGUAUGAUUGGUUCCCUAUUGACCUACCCAAAGUCAUCUCAUACCUACCCCUCCAACUUGCCCUUUGAUGCCCCAGGCACACUGUCCUCCCUAUUGUUCCUUAAACACGGUGAACUCAUUCAUACCUCAGGACCUUUGUUUAUACUUUUCCCUUCAUAGGAAAUUCUUGAUUCCCUGCAUAGAACACUUAUUACUCUGCUCUUCACAUGUGCCUUCUGAUGCUUCAGGUUUUGGUUUAAAUGUCACGUCCUCAGAGAGGUCCCAUGACAACCUAAUCAAGGCAGCAGUAAUUGGUUGAACACAUGAUUCCGCAUCAGGAAAUGUUUUAAAACUGUUCUGAAAGAAACGCUUUUUCCCACUGGGUCUAAAUGAAGUAUACUGGAAGCCAUCUUGGAAGCAGUCGUUAGAGAGAGACUGACUGGACGUGAAGCCAACACUAGGAAAUGGAAACAAGGAAACUCAGUCCUGGUCAAGUUUGACUCCUGUGUCAUACAUCUGAAAAGAGUUAAUUUUGUACUCUUACAUUAUAUAAGCAAGUAAAUUAGCUUUUAAAAAAUAAAGACCUUUGGAUUGUU
Canis lupus familiaris (dog) is the source of this 1041-nucleotide long non-coding RNA. RefSeq lists it as uncharacterized. The record is from RefSeq and is a predicted model, not a curated record. The transcript has 2 exons. NCBI's taxonomy places the organism in Eukaryota, Metazoa, Chordata, Mammalia, Carnivora, Canidae.